AAUAUUGGACAAUGGGGGCAACCCUGACCCAGCUAUGCCGCGUGUGUGAAGAAGGUCUUCCGAUGGUAAAGCACUCUAAGCAGGUAGGAAGGGCGUGAGGUGAACACCCUCAAGUCAUGACGUUACCAACCGAAUAAGCACCGGCUAACUGUCGGCCAGCAGCCGCGGUAAUACAGAGGGUGCAAGCGUUAAUCGGAAUUACUGGGCGUAAAGCGCGCGUAGGUGUUUCAGUAAGAUGGGUGUGAAAUCCCCGUGCUUAACCUGGGAACUGCUUUCAUAACUGCUGAGCUAGAGUACGGUAGAGGGUAGUGGAAUUUCCUGUGUAGCGGUGAAAUGCGUAGAUAUAGGAAGGAACACCAGUGGCGAAGGCGACUACCUGGACUGAUACUGACACUGAGGUGCGAAAGCGUGGGGAGCAGACA
Molecule: ribosomal RNA, 422 nt
Filed under: uncultured bacterium
Lineage: Bacteria
Description: partial 16S ribosomal RNA
Rfam family: Bacterial small subunit ribosomal RNA
Source: RNAcentral